UCACAGUCUCUAGAGUGCAUUGAAAUUCAAAAUAAAGGAUGAUUAUGUGCGGCUAGGGAAGUAUUCUGAGUAUUAGCUGCAUGCUUCAAGGCCCAACAAUGGUUUCCUUCUGCAAUUGUUUUCUUCAGCGCAAUCCACCCGUCCACUUCAUCCCAGCUUCCUCCCGCGUCCGUCCGCCUCUUCCACAUCAAAGCAGCCUCGUUUCCUUCUCCGUUUCAGCAUCCCAGCCAUCUGCAUCU
Molecule: long non-coding RNA, 239 nt
Filed under: Phoenix dactylifera (date palm)
Lineage: Eukaryota; Viridiplantae; Streptophyta; Magnoliopsida; Arecales; Arecaceae
Description: long non-coding RNA (PDAC_LNC006975)
Source: RNAcentral